RNAcentral lists this ribosomal RNA (737 nucleotides) under uncultured bacterium. RNAcentral's name for it is "bacterial SSU rRNA". It matches the Rfam family "Bacterial small subunit ribosomal RNA", at positions 46 to 766 of the family's 1533-position model. The record is from RNAcentral.
GCUAUAAUGCAAGUCGAGCGAAUGACGAAGAAGCUUGCUUCUUCUGAUUUAGCGGCGGACGGGUGAGUAACACGUGGGCAACCUGCCCUGUAGAUUGGGAUAACUCCGGGAAACCGGGGCUAAUACCGAAUAAUCCAUUUCCUCACAUGGGGAGAUGUUAAAAGACGGCAUCUCGCUGUCACUACAGGAUGGGCCCGCGGCGCAUUAGCUAGUUGGUGAGGUAACGGCUCACCAAGGCGACGAUGCGUAGCCGACCUGAGAGGGUGAUCGGCCACACUGGGACUGAGACACGGCCCAGACUCCUACGGGAGGCAGCAGUAGGGAAUCUUCCACAAUGGACGAAAGUCUGAUGGAGCAAUGCCGCGUGAGUGAAGAAGGUUUUCGGAUCGUAAAACUCUGUUGUGAGGGAAGAACAAGUACGAGAGUAACUGCUCGUACCUUGACGGUACCUCAUUAGAAAGCCACGGCUAACUACGUGCCAGCAGCCGCGGUAAUACGUAGGUGGCAAGCGUUGUCCGGAAUUAUUGGGCGUAAAGCGCGCGCAGGCGGUCCUUUAAGUCUGAUGUGAAAUCCCACGGCUCAACCGCGGAAGGUCAUUGGGAACUGGGGGACUUGAGUACAGAAGAGGAAAGCGGAAUUCCAAGUGUAGCGGUGAAAUGCGUAGAGAUUUGGAGGAACACCAGUGGCGAAGGCGGCUUUCUGGUCUGUAACUGACGCUGAGGCGCGAAAGCGUGGGG